AAAUCGGCCCUUUUAAGGGCCAAAAUUUCUAUCCCGAGAGGAUAACU
Molecule: non-coding RNA, 47 nt
Organism: Lupinus angustifolius (narrow-leaved blue lupine)
Lineage: Eukaryota; Viridiplantae; Streptophyta; Magnoliopsida; Fabales; Fabaceae
Source: Rfam